RNAcentral lists this transfer RNA (69 nucleotides) under Panthera spelaea (Eurasian cave lion). Its description in RNAcentral is "tRNA-Gly". Lineage: Eukaryota; Metazoa; Chordata; Mammalia; Carnivora; Felidae. The record is from RNAcentral.
AUUCCUUUAGUAUUAACAAGUACAGCUGACUUCCAAUCAGCCAGUUUCGGUAGAAUCCGAAAAGGAGUA